Long non-coding RNA from Pyrus x bretschneideri (Chinese white pear), 1049 nucleotides. RefSeq lists it as uncharacterized. NCBI's taxonomy places the organism in Eukaryota, Viridiplantae, Streptophyta, Magnoliopsida, Rosales, Rosaceae. The record is from RefSeq and is a predicted model, not a curated record. The transcript has 2 exons.
CUACCUCGCAACACAGUCAAAUAAUAUACGUCAUCCCAAAACUUUCAAUAAGAGAAUUACCGAUGUUUUUGUCAAUUUCGUGACUCAAACCAGGUACCAAAAGCAAACCUGACUUGAAAUUCUACCACAUUUCUAUUGUACCAUUUUGCCGUGGGUCCCCUCGCUUGUAAUGACGAUGGGUUUGGUGGCAGUAACACAAAUAUAACUAAACCACGUGUCGUGAAAACCAUGGGUGUAGUUGGAGGUGGUGGUUGGUAGAUGGAAACCAUACAUAAAUGGAAGUGGAAACACAAGUAGACAUUUGCUUUAUCUCUCUACCAGACCAGUUACUUGGGUUGCUAUCAACAACUCCAUUGCUAACUUUGUUAGAUUAUAACCCACAAGUUAACCAUUCAUUGAAAUGGCACAAGAAGUUGUAAAUACAGAUGAGGUAAAUCUUCUUAUGCAUUUAUAAUUGAAUGAAUCAACCGAGCGCAGUGGCAUUAUAGGAUUCAUAUAGCCGACCCCACUUAGUGAAUAAGGCUUUGCUGUUGUUGUUGUUGUUGUUUGUACUUGUGCUGAAAUUACUGCAUGUGAAUUACUUGAUGGGUGUUUGCGUGAGUGAUGUUUAAGGUUCUUGUUGGAGAAGAAAUAGAGCAUGUGAGGUUGAUCACUUUGAACAGGCGUCGUCAGUUGAAUGUCAUCUCAUCAAAAGUGGUAUGCUCAAUCGAUUUUGCGUCUAUUUGUUGUUUCGUUCGAGUUCUUGAUAUCAUUUCCUUUUCGUUCCUAAUUUAAUUGUUUUUACUUCAAUAGGUUUCUUUGUCCAACUCCUUCAUAUUGUUGUGCAUUCAAGGCUCGAUUUGCAAUUAAAGUCUUGGCAUCAAUUGGUGUUUUGUCAACCAAAGCACCACCUGUCGAAGCAUCUAGCAUUUAUCUUUCAAUUGAAAGGAGUCAUUCGCAGAAAUAUUGAAUUAGAAGCUCUUCUUUCAUUUGGUGUUGAGGGCAUGAUGCAACUGAAGUCUUGAAAUGCUCAUAAUAUGCUGGAAAGGAUUCUCCUUGGUUUUGUUGAA